AUGGAAGAAGUCAGUUCAUGUUCGCCGCGCGGAACGCGGCGCUGAGAGGGAAGCAGGUGAGAAACCUGCGCGGUACCGCCACUGUAAGUGGGAGUCCGGCCCCCGCCCGCACGGGCAGUCACUGGUAUUUCCGGGAAGACGGGGUCAGGAUGAAGAACACGAGCCAGGAAACCUGCAUGAAAGGAAUUCUGCGG
RNAcentral lists this non-coding RNA (194 nucleotides) under Eubacterium sp. The record is from RNAcentral. Lineage: Bacteria; Bacillati; Bacillota; Clostridia; Eubacteriales; Eubacteriaceae.